Molecule: ribosomal RNA, 497 nt
Filed under: uncultured bacterium
Lineage: Bacteria
Description: partial 16S ribosomal RNA
Rfam family: Bacterial small subunit ribosomal RNA
Source: RNAcentral
GAUGAACGCUGGCGGCGUGCCUAAUACAUGCAAGUCGAGCGAACAGACGAGGAGCUUGCUCCUCUGACGUUAGCGGCGGACGGGUGAGUCACACGUGGAUAACCUACCUAUAAGACUGGGAUAACUUCGGGAAACCGGAUCUAAUACCGGAUAAUAUAUUGAACCGCAUGGUUCAAUAGUGAAAGACGGUUUUGCUGUCACUUAUAGAUGGAUCCGCGCCGCAUUAGCUAGUUGGUAAGGUAACGGCUUACCAAGGCAACGAUGCGUAGCCGACCUGAGAGGGUGAACGGGCAAACUGGAACUGAGAAACGGUCCAGACUCCUGAGGGAAGCAGCAGUAGGGAAACUUACGCAAUGGGGGAAAGCCUGACGGAGCAAAGGCGCGUGAGUGAUGAAGGUGUUCGGAUCGGAAAACUCUGUUAUUAGGGAAGAACAAAUGUGUAAGUAACUAUGCACGUAUUGACGGUACCUAAUCAGAAAGCCACGGCUAACUACGUG